Molecule: ribosomal RNA, 119 nt
Filed under: Pteropus alecto (black flying fox)
Lineage: Eukaryota; Metazoa; Chordata; Mammalia; Chiroptera; Pteropodidae
Source: RNAcentral
GUCUAUGGCCAUGCCACACUGAACAAGCCCGAUCCCGUCUGAUCUUGGAAGCUAAGGAGGGUCGGGCCUGGUUAGUACUUGGACAGGAGACCACCUAGGAAGACCAGGUACUGUAGCCG